CUACGGGCGGCAGCAGUGGGGAAUAUUGCACAAUGGAGGAAACUCUGAUGCAGCAACGCCGCGUGGAGGAUGACACUUUUCGGAGCGUAACUCCUUUUAUAUAGGAAGAUAAUGACGGUACUAUAUGAAUAAGCGCCGGCUAACUCCGUGCCAGCAGCCGCGGUAAUACGGAGGGCGCAAGCGUUACUCGGAAUCACUGGGCGUAAAGAGCGUGUAGGCGGAUUAAAAAGUCAGAAGUGAAAUCCUAUAGCUUAACUAUAGAACUGCUUCUGAAACUCUUAAUCUAGAAUAUGGGAGAGGUAGAUGGAAUUUCUGGUGUAGGGGUAAAAUCCGUAGAGAUCAGAAGGAAUACCGAUUGCGAAGGCGAUCUACUAGAACAUUAUUGACGCUGAGACGCGAAAGCGUGGGGAGCAAACAGGAUUAGAUACCCGAGUAGUC
RNAcentral lists this ribosomal RNA (438 nucleotides) under uncultured bacterium. RNAcentral describes it as "partial 16S ribosomal RNA". It matches the Rfam family "Bacterial small subunit ribosomal RNA", at positions 339 to 795 of the family's 1533-position model. The record is from RNAcentral.